This is a long non-coding RNA of Mesocricetus auratus (golden hamster), 498 nucleotides long. RefSeq lists it as uncharacterized. Lineage: Eukaryota; Metazoa; Chordata; Mammalia; Rodentia; Cricetidae. The record is from RefSeq and is a predicted model, not a curated record. The transcript has 3 exons.
GGCACUGGUUAUGGCAUCAAGACUAGAUAUGGUUGCAGGAAUAAACCUUGAAUGUUGAAGUUAGGACAUAAAAAAUGAAACCUGCAUGUAUUUGUGGGAUAUAUUAGAGUAGCUUACAGGCUGUAAUCCGACUAGUCCAACAACGGCUGUCUACAAUUGAAGUUCCAGGAAUUCAGGAGGUGUUCAUUCUACAGGUCUGAUUGUUUCAGCUGGUCUUCAGUAGGCAUCUAAAUCCCAAAGAUGUAGGCUCUAAUCCCAGUGAAUCAAGAACAAGGGCAAGCAGGAAAAGAGUAAUAAUUUCUUUCUUCCUUGUCUUUUACCUAGGCAAACAAGCCCAAUUCUACCCCACAACAUAGGCUCUAUGCCAGUGACUCAAGAGCAAAGGCAAGCAGGAAAAGAGCAAUAAUUUCUUUCUUCCUUGUCUUUUACCUAGGAAGCCACGCCCAAUUCUACCCUACACCAUAGGCAGCCACGCCCAAUUCUACCCCACAACAUAGG